This 442-nucleotide ribosomal RNA is filed under the name uncultured bacterium. Its description in RNAcentral is "partial 16S ribosomal RNA". It matches the Rfam family "Bacterial small subunit ribosomal RNA", at positions 338 to 795 of the family's 1533-position model. The record is from RNAcentral.
CCUACGGGCGGCAGCAGUGGGGAAUAUUGGGCAAUGGGCGCAAGCCUGACCCAGCGACGCCGCGUGAGGGAAGACGUUCUUCGGAUUGUAAACCUCUUUCAGCAGGGAAGACAAAAGGACGGUACCUGCAGAAGAAGCCACGGCUAACUACGUGCCAGCAGCCGCGGUAAUCCGUGGGUGGCAAGCGUUAUCCGGAAUUACUGGGUGUAAAGGGUGUGUAGGCGGGGAUGCAAGUCAGAUGUGAAACUUAUGGGCUCAACCCAUAACCUGCGUUUGAAACUGUAGAUCUUGAGAGUGGGAGAGGUAAACGGAAUUCCCGGUGUAGCGGUGAAAUGCGUAGAUAUUGGGAGGAACACCAGUGGCGAAGGCGUCUUACUGGACCACAACUGACGCUGAGACACGAAAGCGUGGGGAGCAAACAGGAUUAGAUACCCUUGUAGUC